Non-coding RNA from Arachis ipaensis, 1126 nucleotides. The record is from RefSeq and is a predicted model, not a curated record. Lineage: Eukaryota; Viridiplantae; Streptophyta; Magnoliopsida; Fabales; Fabaceae.
UAAAGAAUGUGAUAAAUGUCUCUAGGUUAUUCAUUAAUCCUGAUAUUCCUGAGUCUGUUGAGUUCCUAAGUAGGUUAGUUGUGAUAAAAAUAUUGAAAACCUAGAAGAUGCCAUGCUUAUUUUGUUGGUGUUCAUGUAUAUGUUUUGUGUUAUGAAGAUUAGUUAUUGUAUCUUGUGUGUAGAUUUAGUGUAGCCAGAUAUAGAUUCUCAAGACUUAUGACCAAUGACCUUGGAUACUUAGUUUCUAAAGUUGAUGGUGAUUAUUUCAAUCCCAAAGAGAUCAGUAAUAUUCAAGAUCUUCAUUCAGAUAAUGGGGAUUCUCAUUACUUUGUUAUUGGGACAAUUAAGGAAGUUAUGGAUGAACCAGAUUGGUGGUACUACACAUGUGUGUGUGGUCAUGCCGUUGUUGAGCAUGAGGAUCUCUACCUUUGUGAUGCUUGUGGUUCAUGUGUUGAGCAUGUUAUGGUCAAGUGAGCUUCAUAAGUAACUUUAUUUUGGAAUAGAUUAAUUAAUAAUCUUAUGGAUUUUUUCUUACUUCUUUGUUAUGCGCCACUCUAUGUGUUGUUAAGCAGAUUUCUUGGUUUUAGUUAUGAUUCUUGGUUGUUAAUUGUGUUAGAUAUGGGAUUCGGGUAAAGAUUCAGGCUGCUCGGUGUACUGUUUUGUUUGUUUUGCUUGAUAAUGCGGCAACAAAACUAUUUGGAAGAACCUGUUCGGAAGCAUUUCUCAGGAUAGAAGAAGAAUUUCCUGUUGAUCCUAGUGUGCUUGCAGUUUGUCGGUCAUAUUCUCCACAAAUGUUUGAUUAUGUUGUUGGAGAGGAGAAAGUUUUCAAGGUUGAAAUUGAUUCUGCAGUUGAUCCAGAUUACUCCAGUUGCUUUAAAAUUGUAAAUGUCUUUAGUCAUAAUCCGGAACCAGUUGCAGCCGAUGAUUAUAUCAAUGUAUGAUUCCUCACCUUAUGUUACAACAUGUUCAUGCAAUUGUUUUUUCUGAAUCAAUGGAUUCGAUACUUAUUGUAACCAACUUAUCCCAGGCAAUGCUUCAUGGUCCCAUUUUUCCACCAAUCUAUGAUAGCUACUUGCAGUAUGCAACUGGCGAAGAUUACAAGAUUCAAGUAGUGUGUGAUAAUGCU